UCUCUGACUUAUGCAAAUAAUGGUAAUCUCAAAAAACGAGCAAAAUAGGUAGAGCAAUGUAAUUGUUUAAUUCCGUAAUCUUCGGUAACCAACGACUUAAAUUCAACGCUUCAUUGGUUACAUGUACUACAUACCCUGCACAAUAAUGUAGUGGACCGUUGCGAAACCACGCCCUUCCAGGUCAAAUAAAAUGCACUGUAAUAAAUUUAGAUAUAAAAUGUUGUUAAAUAUAGCGCAUAACCAUUAACAGAUAAAUACCUAAAUAGGUACUUGCAGUUUACAUAAUCUUAUUUCCUUCACUAGUAAGAGUUAAGAAAAUGAGACCUAGACCGAAAGUGAUUCUUGUUGGUAUCCUGAUAAUAUGUGGAACUGUUGGAUCAUUUUUUUUAGUUAAAGCUGCUGGAUAUCUUAUAUCAGCGUUUACGUUUGGUUUGGACAUUUACGGAUUCACUGACAGCUUCGAUGAUGACAAAACGUACACAGACGACAGUAAGUACAAGGAUUUGGAAAAGGUGUUGUCUGACAAAAUUGAUACAUCUACACGUUCUAUAAUAGCAAACAUUGAUCUUCACGAUCAUUUUAAGCGUUUACUUGACAUAAGCGGAGUCACCAGUUCUUUAUUGGAUGAUUUUCGAAAUAUCAUUGACUCAAAAACGAAGGUAGCUAGAGAUGAAAACAUAAAAAGGUUUAAGGUAUAGGUCCAUGUUUCGGAGAAAAAAGUUCGAACGUCAUCAAAUCAUAGAAAGAAAGUAUUGUUUUACAUGAAAAUUUAACAGCGUAUAAAACAUUUAUAUUAUUCUACAAAACCAUUGUCAAUUUACUCAUAUAUGUAUUGAAUUCCGGAAAGGGACUGCAUGAAGGGGCCACACUUCUGGACAGUUCAGCGCCUUUAAAAACUCACCAUUAUUUAAAAGCUGUUUCAUGUCUUCGUUUUGAUGCAUUUGCAUCAUCGUGCGAGUGUUUAAACUUUACAUUACUAGGUAAAACAUCGUUUUUAACAAUUGUUUACAUUUAUUUCUUUACAAAUGGCAUUCUUAUUUAAAGGGGGACAACUCAUUUAGAAUAUUUUAAGUAUCCAACUCUGUGGGACAAAACAGUAAAACAUGUAUUGAACAGAUAAGUUGUGUGUCAAGAUGCUGUUCAUUUACUAAAAAAAUCUGUUGUUUUGUGAUAUACUGCUAAACCUUAAAGAAAAGUUCACAGUAAACGAAGUUAAUAUACAAAAUAUUGCCAGAGUACUGACUGCGAAGAUAUCUGUUAAUGGUCAGAAGAAACGUCUGAUAGACGUGUUCGUUGAAACGGUCGACUGUAGUCUAACAAGUCUGCAAGAGUUUAUGGUCUACUACAUGGAUCUCGUAUCAAGCGCUUUUGCAAUAGAUUUAACGAAUGAACGUUUCAGCGUUGUCGAUUUGUCAAACCAAACCAAGGAGUUUUGGACUGGCCAUGUGGAGAAGCUGGUUGCAGAAUUUGAAGCGAAGAAAAAUGGGUGUAUCGAUCACUUUCCUCAGCUUGUCAAAGACGACCUCGAGGGUGUUGAAAAUGCCAGUGAUCUUCAGAGUAAAAACGCACUUAGAUAUUCAGACAAACUGAAUAGUGUGAUAUUUGUCGGCAGUGACACUGACAGUCAGAUCAAGUAUUUGGAGCAUGAUGAUACUAUUUUCUUUAACACAACAACUGCAAAACAAAAAAUUGUAUUUUUCGAAAGGAAAAAUGAAACUAUUGAAACUCUCGGUCACAACUCAACAAAAGGCGAGGAUAACUAUACAAAAGCAUUUCCGACUACACUCAAUAUCUCAAACCUGGUGAGCAAAAUCAAAGAGAGAAACUGUGGUACGGAAACGAUUGGUGAAAUGAUAGACGAUAUGUUCUUCUGGCGAAGCUACAUCCUACGGUUCUGGUUGAUAAUGAAUCAUGAGUCACAAAAUGAAAUAGCCUUUGAUCAAAGUACCCGGACAGCUUAUAUUGUAGAAUGUGAAAAAGACAUUAUAAUAGCAGUUAAAGAAUGGAAAGCGGAAAAUGCUUUUAAUUCAGUUUACAAGACGAUGAAUAAGGACACAAGCGGUGUUGCUAUAGUAACUGUGCCUACAACCUUCAUACUUUGUUUGGUCAUUAGUUACCUUGUAGAAUUUAUUUCAUAAGAUGUCCUCUCAUUCUGUACUGGCAAUUAGGUGAUUUGUCAAUUUUCUUUACAUCGAACAUAAUCUUUUAUUGAACAAAAUAUGUAGACAACACUGCUGGCGGAAUUUGAUAAAACAAUGACCUUUCAAUAAAACUUUAUUGAAGAACCGAAACUGGAUACCUUUAAUACCAUGCAAUUGUAAUCCGAUGCAUAGUAUACAAAGUUCAUAGAAAUUAUACACUUAAUUCCUUUACAAUUAAGUGUAUUAUUUCUAUGAUAUGCGAAGCAAGACUUAUCCGCAGACUUAAUUUCUAUGCGAGCAUCUGCAAGCAUUAUAUUACAUGGCUGCAAUCUUUUUAAGAUUGCAGUAAGCUUACGCAUGCUUAUUACAAACUUCUCACAAUCUUGUCGCAUGCUUGUAUUUUGGUUUGGGCUAGCUCAUACUGAAAGGCGACGAUUAACCUUUAACCUGCUGCAGGCAAUAGAUUCUGCCUUUUCGACCAGUGCAGGCUGAUUAUGGUCUGCACUGUUCGCUUUUCAGUCUGUAAAUAUUCAGUGGACAUUCCUUCAAAUAGUAAGUGGUACUGUCUAUAUUGAAUGAUUGAACUGUCCAUGUUAGUAAUUUAGCAGGCUAAAGGUUAAGCUAGUGGUAAGAUACAGGUAUUCUGUAUUAACAUGUGAACAAAUAGGCAUACUAAACAUUAUGACAUUGGUAUGAAUAUAUUUAUAGUAUUUUGCAUUGUUAGGGCGUCAAACAAAUGAAAUACAGAAGAUGAAAUCCUUAUACAAUUUUUCUGAUACAAUCAGUAAUUCCUCGGUGAAACGUUAGCGCGCUCUGUUUCAGACACGUGCUCAGUACAUUUUUCGUGAAUUCGAUUCCUAGAGCAAUAUUAACUGAUAUGAAGAUUAAUCAUGUUUGUUUUCGAUCCAGUUUUUACAGCAGUAAAAUAUUUCUUUUAAUAGAAAAUAAAAACACGUUAUUACAUCAAAAUACACGUCGCUAUUUUAAUUUGUAAUUUGUUACUUCUUGUGAUAUCGUAAAGCAAAAGGAGCUUAUCUUAAAGUAGUUAUUUUAUACAUACAGUGAUAUUAAACUGUUUUUAAUAUGUAAGCUUGUACAUAUUUCAUAAUAUAUACUCCAAACCUUGUGUCAGUUACUUCAAAAUGUAAUUAAUUAAAUUGCAAUUACAUUGUGAAAUGUCAAAUUAACUUACAAUAACCAUUACAUGAAAUUUUCCAAUGGAAUUAAUUAAAUUACAAUUAAAUUGCAAAUUGUAAUAAUUACAUUCAAUUACAAUACCAAAUGUGGUAACAACCUAACAUGCUUCUUACAUGAACACUGUAGCAAAGUUCUUUACUUUGUACUACAUAUAUAAACUGAUUUCAGUAAUUUCAAAAUUGAAUUUAUGCUCAAAGUAAAAUGUAUGUUUGCGGGAGAACAUUUCUAAGCCCUUAAUAUUGCAAAAGAAGCUAAUAAUCAGCCCUUAAUUAUUAUUCAAUACAUUGUCAAGCAAAAUUCAGUUAGAGAAAAUGCAUGUAAAGCCAAGUAUUUCUACGAGAUCUGAAUUUCUCUGAAGUUUAUACGAUCAUGGUUCUGCAGUAUGUUUCACAUUAAGCUAGUAUAGUUCAGUAUUCAAUCAUUUACAUUUUAAUCAUGUAUUUAAAGUUUGUAUCCUUGACACUACAUGUUAUCAAAAGGAUACCAUUGGAAAUAAGUUGUAAAACAUUCUUGAGCCAUCCUAGAAUAACUAUGUCACUAAAACUAUAGAAUACUCCUAAUACCUACAAUAAUAAUUAUGUUUUUUUAUCUUGUUAGAACUGUGAUGUGAAAUGUUAUGUUGUUUGUAUCAUUUAAUACGACAUAUUUUAUCACAGAUAAAAAAUGAUUAAACUGAAUGCAAAGCUUUUCAGUUUUUGCUCCGAUAAAAAUCAAAAUAAUAAUGAUGCAAAUAACAAUUUCAAUAACUUGAUCAUUUUCUUCAAACACAUAGUGAAAAACAUCAUCAAAACAGUUGGCUCUAUGCUAAUAAAACAAUUAUAUCAGAACAAAGGAGCUAUGUCCAAAGGAUUAACACCUACCAAAAUAAUCUAUUAUUAUUUUUCACAUCUAUGAAAUGCAAAUUAGCAUGUUUAAGAGAAGUGUCACUGGUAAUAUUGUUCAACAAACUGAAAUAAAGCAUGUGCCAUGUAACUGGAAAGUUACUGAAAUAUAAUCGUCAAUUAUUGAUUAAAUUACAAUUACAUGUAGUUAACACAUGCCCCAAUUACAAAUUACAUUCAAUUACUUAGGGAAUGUAAUUUAAUUGCAUUUAAUUACGGUUACAUUUUUAAUUACCACAGGUCUGAUAGUCUCUUUAUUGCCUCUUUCGCAGCAAUAUGCCGCUUUUUGCAAUGUCAGAAUCUGGUAAUGUGAAAAUAUUUGUAAACUACUGGUACAUGAGAAGUAGAAUUACAGAUCUGUAAAUGCGUGUAUCAUUUAUUUAAAUUUAAAAAUAUUAAAAUAAAACUGAUAUUGUUCAUAUUAUUCUCAUUAUGUAAUUUUGUUUGUUAAUAGCGCUACCCAUGUAUUUAUGCAAUUAUUAUAUAAGGAUCUUAUAUGACUGGCUGUGUAAGAUGGGUUAGCAAUGAGUGGAAAGCCGAGUGCUACUGAGUUAUUUUAUCCACGCUGUCGCGAGGUUUGGGAAAGCACCUGCCUUACUCAGGCAUUCGUCUUAGAUAUUUUUUCUUGCCUACCUUAGAUAUUAUUGCAAUAUUUACAAAGAUAUUAUAAAUAAAAAUGCACUAUGACGUCAUAGUAUGACGCCAAUAUGUGCACGUGAGAAAGAUAAGCAAGGUUAUUGUCUUAGGAGAUCAGUGUAUGAGCGACUUUUGAUUUACAUCUUUGAAACUGAUGCAAUGGCAUUAACAGUAGGCACGCAAAAUAAUCUAACAUGAUGUCUGCCUUAGUUCACGUUUUCCCUCGGGUGUGAGAAAACCCUGUCUUACACAGGCAGGCAUUCAAUUGUGAUGCACAAUCAUAAUACUUUUUCUUCUUUCUGAACUUGAAACAGAAACAUAUUAUGCAUGUUAUUCUUAUUUUUGUCUUUUGCAAAAUUUGUUGAUGUAUAUAUAUAUAUAUAUAUAUUUUUUUUUUACCCUGGAUCGUACACUUCCAAUAAUCAUCCGCAUAUCAUGUGAAUAUUUGAAUAUACUCUAUUCUCAAACAUACGAUUAAACAUUGUACGUAAAAUCAUUGGUAUCAAUAAAGAAAUCGGCCACAUUUUAUUAUGAUAUCGACUUUUAUGACGUUUAAUACUGCAAUCUGUUCUCAAUUACAAGCUGUCUUUGUGUUUUUCAAAAGAUAUUUUGAAGAUUUGGAAAUAUAGACAACUCUCGAAAACAUUAAUCACGCAAUUGAAUUUAGCAUAAUACGGCCUUAAGAUUUAUUUCAAAACAUAGAGAAACUUGAAUAUUGCAAAUUGAAUAUGGCAAAACCUUGUAAUUUAUAAGCCUUUGAAACACACAGACAAAUCUCAAAAGUAUUAAUCACUCAAUGUAAAUGUUUUGUCAGUUGGAAGAAAAUAAAUAUAGCUAAGUUUUAUUACACUGUGAACUUGAUUAUAACAAAAGAUAAAAGAUCACCCCUAACACAACCAUAGAGCCAUGCACCGCAAAGUAGGUCCAAAACGAAAAAAAGUUGUAACGGAAAAAUAUUUCAGACGGAUUGCUUCAAAAAUCGAACAACAAGUACAUUUUAAUUAUAGACACAAUGCAGAAAAAGGGGAGGGGUAAGCAGUAGAUAAAAGGGUCGGGUGUUGAGUGGAAAAUUGGAGCAAGGAUAAAUAUUCAACAUGGAAAGCAACGUUCCUUAAAGCAGUCUUCAUACAUCGUAAAGCGCAGCAGAGCAGACACGCACAUACAAAAUACAAACGCACACACAACAAACAAAAACAUAUUUUGCUGCUCUUUUUCUAUGUAAAAUUCGUUAUUCAUGUAUACAAUAUCUCUUUUGAUAUGAAUCGUUUUUAGAAAAAGAUGUUUGUUGUAGAUAUCUCGUAAUGCAAUUUGAUGAAAACAAGACAGAAGAGUUUGAAAAUUUCUAGAAAAUAUUGCAUCAGAAAACAUGCAUUGGUUAUAUCUUACGUUCUUAUGCUAAACAUGUUCCUUCGAAUAACAUGAAUAUUGCUUUAUUGAGCAUCUGUAUAGCUGUAUAAAACCUAAAAGAUUAAUUGCAGGAAUACGUUUUUUUUUCUAUUAUUUAUAUUCUACAACAAAGAUAAGUUCAGUUUAUUCAAUACACACUUCACAUAAUCUUACAUUGAAAGUGUACUGUAAAUAAUUUCCCAGGCAUGCAGAACUUUAGAGGAAUAGGUCUUGCGAAGAGAUAAUUCUACCUGGAUUAACUUGAAACUGACCCAUUUAAUGAUAUCAUAUAGUGUUAAGUACCUUAUACAUUUAUUUCCUGAAAAGCUAUCUUUCGAAAUAAUAAAAAUCGUGUGCAAUUUUCAGUUCCUCUAAAAAUUCCUUUAUGUAAGCCUUUCAUUAACUGCCUUAUUUUUCUUUUAUUUACAAUAUCAUUUUUUGAAUGUCACAUUUUAAUAACUUCUCCUACCAGCUGAAUAAUCCUAAAGAGUAUCAAAUAUAGUUGCCGGUUUCUGCCUGCACCUAAUUACGAAUCUUCGACAAUCUCAGCAAACUUCGAAGAGAAUUAAAAACGUAAAGUGUUGCUGACGCACUUGUUAACAGAGUAAAUAACAUGCAGAAACAAUAACUAAUUAAUUAAAUAUGUCUGAAUGAAAGUAGGCAUCUUCAACGUAUAAACCAUUGACAAAAUGAUUGGUUCCAAAAGCUGUGUAACUAUUGUAAAUAACAUAUUCAUGUUUGUUUUGUUGUUAUUUUUACAGCAUUUGUAGAAGCAGUCGCUCUUAUUCUUGAAGGAGUUCAUUUAGUUGGUAAAUCGAUGGUAUGAAAGUUCUUUAUUCACAACUAAUUUUGGUUUUUACUUGCUGACUGUUUCGGACAGUCCUCUGUCCUUCAUCACGAGCACUGUCUUUCGGUCAUCUUCUACUGUUUCCGCCACUGCACGGGUGAGCGGCGAAAACGGAAUCAUUCCAACCUCACAAAGGAGGAGAGAAAUGCCCUAAAAGAACUGUCCAAGGACGACCAAACCAUGAUCCUCCUGGCCGACAAAGUAAAGGCUACGAUUGUCAUGAACAAGGAUGAGUAAGAGUCGAAAGUUAAUGACAUGUUGUCUGACGAUAGGACCUAUGAAAAGUUAAAUAAGGAUCCUACUGCAUCAUACAAGCGUCAGCUGAUUGGAAUUCUGACUAGGCUUAAAAGAGAGAAAAAGAUUGACGAGAAACAGUACAGGUAUCUUUAUCCAGUUUCGGAAACUAUACCCCGUAUGUAUUGCACUCCCAAAAUACAUAAGCCAGGAAACCCCUUAUGUUCAAUUGUUGACUAGUGUGGCUCCAUAGGGUACAAUACCUCUCGAGCAUUAGCAGACGUGUUAGGUCCAAUAGUAGGGGAAACGCAGCACCACGUGAAAAACUCCAAAAACUUGUCUGACUCUCUUGCAUUUGUCAUGAUACAGGAAGUUGAGACUUUCGCAUCCAACGACGUGGUAUCGUUGUUCACGAACACGCCCAUUGAGAAAGCCAUUUCAGUGAUUUCAGACAGACUUGAAAAAGGUAACACCUUGAAAGACCGUACACAUUUGUCAGUGCCGGACAUUAUGGAGUUAUGCAAGUUCAUACUCACCACAACUUACUUUCAAUUUAAGGAAGUAAUAUAUAGACAAAAAUUUGGGACGGCCAUGGGGAGCCCAGUAUCACCCAUUGUAGCCAACAUAUACAUGGGAGUACUUGGAGCAGCAGGCUAUAGCCACAUCCCCACUGGAUUGUCGGCCCACGCUAUGGAAGCGAUAUGUUGAUGACGUCCUAGAACGCAUCAAAAAGGGACAAUUGCAAAAUAUCACAGACCAUCUGAAUACAGUCGAUAGUACCGGGAGUAUAAAGUUUACUCACAAAGAGGAAAAGGAUGGAACAACUGCGUUCUUGGACACACUAAUAGUGCACAAGGGUGAUGGAAGUGUCAAGUUACUUGUAUACCGCAAAAGUACUCACACCGACCAGUACCUUAGUUAUCACUCACACCACCCUCUCCAUCAAAAACUAGGUGUCAUACGUACAUUAAUAGAGAGAUGUUUUACAAUUGUGACGGAGGAGAAAGAUAGAUCGGAUGAGGAAAAACAUAUCAGAACAACACAAGGAAAGUGUGGAUAUCUAAAAUGGACAUUUGAUUAAGUGAAGCGUUCACUACAAAACAAGAGAGACGAUAAGAAAAAGAAACAAAAGAAGAAGGACAAUUCAGACACCAAAUCGCGUGGACUCGUGGUACUCCCAUACGUACAAGGGAUUUCCGAGGCAAUAGAGAGAACAUUCCGGAAACACAAAGUUUCAACGGCAAUGAAGCCACACAAGACUAUAAGAUCCUUGCUUGUGCACCCGAAAGAUAAAACAAAAUAUAGUGAAAAAUGUGAAGUAGUGUACAAAAUAGAAUGUAUUGUGAUGAGGUAUACAUCGGUGAGACUUGGAGAAAGUUUGAGACCAGAUUGAAGGAAGAUAUGAGAGAUACACAACAACAUGAAAGAUCCAAUUUCACAAGAUCAGAAAGGAAGAAUUCACUGCCUCAGUACAACAAAAGUACAAUUACGGAUCAUGUGACUCAGAAAAAUCACGUCAUAAGCUGGAAGGGGGCGAGGACAGUGGAUAGGGAGAGUGACACCCGAACUCGACAAGUAUAAGAGGCAAUACAUAUCAAGCGCCAAUCUUCGACUAUGAACCAUGACGAGAGGGUGUACAAGCUUGCAAGCGUCUACGAUUCCGUUUUCGCCGUUCAUCCGUGCAGUGGCGGAAACAGUCGAAGAUGACCGGAAGUCAGUUCUCGUGAUGAAGGACAGAGAACUGUCCGAAACAGUCAGCAGGUAAAACCCAAAAUUACUUGUGAAUAAAGAACUUUCAUUCCGCAGUCGCUCUUAGUUUUCAGACUAUCGAAAGUCUGACCAGGGAACAUAAUCAAAUAAAACAUUCGUUUACCGUGCUUGAUCACAUAUUUUUCAUUCUCACUACUACCGGUAUUCAGUGUUAUUUGAUUUUUAUUUAAUAAUACAUGUAGUGCAGUAGUAUACAUCGGCUGAAUGGAAAUGUAUUUCAGGUUCACGAUAUUUCUUAUAAAUGAUUAAUUAUAACGUGGCAUUUAUAAGAAAGAUACAGUGGUUUGGGGUAUAGGGAAAGCAAACAAACUUUUCCUACGAAAAUAAAGUUAGUAGGGUUUUUUUUUUUUUGGUUAUUUUUUCAUGUAUGUUAGAAUAGAAGUGUAUAUUCUUUUCAAAACAUUUAGCAUUUAAUAAAAAUUCAUGUGUUUUCACUCCUUGGCAUUGUUUACAUACGCUCUGAUUUAGUGUGUAGGGGAUAGCUUUGGUUUUUUUACAGUUAUUGUGAUAAAUACUUAAAUUUCUAUCCAAUACUUUUCAUUCACUGAUGUUUACUACAAACACAUUGAUUAAGUCAGUAAAGCAUACGUUGACAUGUGCACAAUAACACCAGAAACAAACAUUUAAGACAUUCAGAACGUCUGUCACAGGGGCAAAAACAUUUUCAAAAUGACUUUUUGGCAUUUUUAGCUCACCUGUCACGUAGUGACAGAGCGAGCUUUUAUGAUCGCCCUUCGUUCGUCGUCCGUCCGUCCACAAUUUCCUUGUGAACACGAUAGAGACCACAUUAUGUAUUUGAUUUUAAUCAAACUUACACACAACUUGUACGGGCAUAAUAUCUCGGUUCCAUUCGAAAACUGGCCAGAUCCCAUCAUGGGUUCUAGAGGUAUGGCUCCUUAAAGGGUCAAACUUGCCAUUUUUGGCUUGUGAACACGAUAGAGACUACAUUUUAUUUAUCAAUUGUACUCAAAUUUGCACAUAAACUUGUAUUGGCAUGAUAUCUCGGUUCCUUUCGGAAACUGGCGAGAUCCCAUCAUGGGUUCAAGAGGUAUGGCCCCUUGAAGGGCCAAACAUUACUAUUUUUGAUUUGUGAACACGAUAGAGACCAUAUUUUGCAAUCAACUUUACCCAAAUCUGCACAUAAACUUGUAUUGGCAUAAUAUCUCGGUUCCUUUUGAAGACUGGCCAGAUCCCAUCAUGGGCUGCAGAGUUAUGGUCCAUUAAAGAGCCAAACAUUUGUUAUUUCUAGCUUGUGAACACGAUAGAGACAGCAUUUUGCAAUCGAAUAUAAUCAAACUUGCAUAUAACUUGUGUUGGCAUAAUAUCUCGAUUUCUUUCCGAAACUGGCUAGAUCCCAUCAUGGGAUCCAGAGUUAUGGCCCCUUGAUGGGCCAAAAUUUGCUAUUUUGGCUUUUGCAGCCAUAUAGAGACUUCAUUUACGGUUUGAUUUGAUACAAACUUGUAAAAUAUUUUCAACACAAUAACUCUUGGAUUUCAUAAUGAAUCUGUCAGAUCCAAUCAUAGGUUCUGGAGUUAUAGUCCCUGAUUGACCCCUGAAAGGGCCAAAACUUGGUAAUUUUUACCUUGUGAAUACGACAGAAGUAACAUUUUAGAUUUGCUUUUAACCACAUUUACAAACAACCUAAAUCACCAUAAGAUCUCGGUUUCUUUCGAAAACCGACUAGAUUCUGUCAUAGGUUCUAGAGUUACUGCACAUGAAAGGGGCAAAUUUUCUAUUUUGGCACUUUCAGCCAUAAAGAGGUUUCAUUUAUGUUUUGAUCUGAUACAAACUUGCAUAGAAUGAUUGUCUUGAUGAUCUCUAGGCCUGGAUUGAAACUGGGUCAUGUCGGGUCAAAAACUAUGUCAUCAGGUCAAAUCAAAGGUAAAGAUUGUUAACAACCUAGAGGCCAUAUUUAUGAUCCUAUCUUCAUGAAACUUGGUCAGAAUGUUUAUCUUGAUGAUUUCUAGGUCAAGUUUGAAACUGGGUCAUAUGGGGCCACAAACUAGGUCAUCAGAUCUAAUAAAAGGAAAAGCUUGUUAGCACUCUUCAGAGGUAAAGAUUGUUAACAACCUAGAGACCACAUUUAUGACCCUAUCUUUAUGAAACUUGGUCAGAAUGUUUAUCUUGAUGAUUCUUAGGCCUAGUUUGAAACUGGGUCAUAUGGGGUCAAAAACUAGGUCACCUAGUCAAAUCAAAGGAAAAGCUUGUUUCCACUCUGUUUGCAUGAAAUAUCGGAUGAAUUUUUAUUUGGGUCAUGUGGAGAUAAAAACUAGGUCAGCAGGUCAAAUCAAAGAAAAAGCUUGUUUACACCAAAGGGGGCAGAUAUUUUGAUUCUAUCUUCAUGAAAUUUGGUCAGAAUAUUUGUUAUCAUGAAGUCUUGGCCGAUUUCAAAUCUGGGUCAGAUGGGUCCGAAACUUGGUCAAAUUAUAGGAAAAGCUUGUUUACACUCACGUUUUUUGGUCCAAUCUUAAUGAAAAUUGGUCAGAAUAUUUGUCUUCAUGAAAUCACUAAGUAAAACGUGUUUACACUGUUAUGGUGUGUUACACAGGUGAGCGACCUAUGGCCAUCUUGGCCCUCUUGUUUCUGAGAAAACAUUAUAACUGUAAUCCGAGGUACGUUACUGCCACCUGUGAUUAAAAACAAAGAACGCUAAUGCGUUUGAAGAUUCUAAGAUAAUUUUUGUUUUAUUCAAUUUAUCUAAAGGUCAGUGGGACUACCAUGACUGGCGUGGCCCAUUAUUUAAAUUUUCAGAAAAUGAUGUUUUUUAUAUUUGAUUAUCUGUAAUUUAUUAAUGAAAAUAGACAUUCUACGUAUCUAAGUGCCUUUUCAUUAUUUUCAGACGGCAGAUAACUUUUACACUGGAAAAAUCAAGAUCUCAAUAAUAAUUUAUUGCUAAUUUUCUAACUCCUUAAUAUUUUCAGAAAAUAUUUAGUUUUGAUAGAAGAGACACUGUAUUCAUUAUUAAUGUAUCAAUCGUAUGUUCACUUGUUCAUUUAAAAUACAAAAUAUAAAUAUUUUGGAUAUAUGUUAGAUAUAAUCUACUCUUUCUGUGAAAGAGCAUGCUAUAUAUGUUGUUUAGAAUUUGCAUAGUUACAUAAAUCACUCAGUUGUUGGAAAUAAUAUAUGCUGUACAUCACCUGAAAUUCAAAAUUUAUUUCAUAUUGUUGUAAAAAUGGACUUUUACUACAUGAAAUUUGACAAUAUACUGUUUUAGUAUUGCAUAACAUUAUUCAAUAGCUUAUAAGUAUGUUUUUUAUUGAAUGAAAAGUCACCGGUACUUUUAGUCUGUCCUUAUUGUUACAAACUUAAUAGUAUUUUAUAUCAUUGUAUAUUUCUUUUUAUUUUCACCAUCUUUUUCAGCAUGACUAAUUUCGAACAAAAAAUGAGCAUGUUAACAAUGAUCUGGUCAUAGGUAGCUUGUAAAAUCAAUGUUGGAUGGCUGAUCAGAAAGAGGCUGACCAAUCAGAAUGUACUUUUUAUCUCUUACAGAAGAAACGCAUUCAGGGAUAAUUUCAAUUUUAUGUAAAGUAAAUUUGGACUGACAACAUUAAAAAGCUUUUUUUACGGUUUAGUAAUUAAUAUCUGAUUAUUUCAUGGCUAUUUAUCCAAUCUGAGAGGUUUACCAAUUUCAUUGUAACUGUUCUAAAUUUAGUCAUUUAUUUUUCUUCUGUUUAUUUUUUGGCAGAAUUUUUAAAAAGUAUUCUUAUUAUUCAUUAAGCUGCUUUAUUAUAUCUUGUAUAUUUAGAUCACUUUGUGAAAAAUAGUAAAACAUUUGGUUGAGGUUAGAUUUUUUCAUAAAGAUCUCCUGUUAUAAUAUAUUCGAUAUAUUCUGUACAAAUCAUAAUUUGUUAUGUGAUAAAGCAGUUUGUUGUGUACAUUUAUUAGUUUGUCCGGCACAUAUCUUAGUUUUUGUUGUGCAUUCAGUAGUUUGUGCUGACCAAUUAGUUUGUUUUGUGGAUCUGGCAGUCUGUUCUAAAUAGUAAAUAGUUCGUCAUGUGCAUUUAGCAAUAUAUUCGGUACACUUAUAUUUAUAUAACAAAUUAUGAUUUGUACCGAAUAAAUUGGAAAAUGCACAUGACCAACCAUUAAUUGUACAGAACAAACUAGUCAGUGCACAGCACAAAAUGAGAUAUGUACAUGACAAACUAAUCAAUGUACAUAACAAACUGUUUUAUCUGCAAAAACCAGCAAAAGCACAUGUCAAGGCAGUCUACGCGUUCCAUACACAAGCGUGAUUAAUUUACUUAGUAUUGGUGUAUUCCACUAUAUAAGAGUGUGUCAAAAGAGUGCUAUAUGUGACGCCAUCUGCAAGUUCGUUGUCGUACAAGCUGCUCGUAUACACAAACUGUAUGACAUGCUUUGUUCGUUGAUAAACGCAUAAUUAUCCUAUAAACGAUCAUGGUUCUCCAGUGUUUUUGCAUGUUCUAGAAAAACUCGUCUAACAACCAGGCGUGUAUGAUGAUUCAUGUGCUGUAAUUUAAGAAUGAAAGUUUUCGUUCUAUUAUUAUGUCUCUUCUAUUAAAUGAAAAAUAUGCAAAAUAAAAAUCUAACCUCAUUUCGUUGAAGGUGCGGAUGGAAAUUUCAUACUCUCCGGUAACUGUUAAGCGUAAACCAGUUAUUUCCACCGCAUCUUCAACCUAUAAACUGUUACCAUUUACUACUGAAAUUUGUUCCCAAACCUGUGUCACUUUAUCGAGGGCUUGGUGCAAAACUGUUGUAAGUGUAUAUAAUUAAAGAACAAGAUACAAUAGUUUUGCGCCAAGCCCUCGAUAUAUAUUGCUUUAUUUUGUAAAUAUUGUAUUCAUGUGUUUCUGUAGCAUCUUUAGAAGCCGUUGCUGCUUUGUUUUCAGAUUUUCAAAAGUCUUACCAGGGUGAACAUUUAUUUAACGCGCUUGAUCACCUUUUUUUAUUCUCACUACUGUUCAGUAUUCUAUUGAUUAAAUGAUACCUGUAGUGUAGUAGUCUAUAUCGAUUAAAUGGAAAUGUAUUUUUAUGUUAACAAUACAGAACGAGCUACCCGAGUCAAGUGGUAUAAACCUAAACUUAGUAACAAAACACGGAAAUUCCUAUUCUAAAAUAACAAAAAUAAAGCUAUUAUUAAUAUUAUAAAUUGCGCUUCAAGUAACUAUAAAUAACGGAUAUAGAGCAAAGGACGAGGCCACCACAACUUACCCAUUAUAUAUAUAUAUAUAUAUAUAUGAGCCGUGCCAUGAGAAAACCAACACAGUGGGUUUGCGACCAGCAUGGAUCCAGACCAGCCUGCGCAUCCGCGCAGUCUGGUCGGGAUCCAUGCUGUUCGCUUUUAAAGCCUAUUGGAAUUGGAGAAACUGUUAGCGAACAGCAUGGAUCCUGGCUGGUCGCAAACCCACUAUGUUGGUUUUCUCAUGGCAUGGCUCAUAUAAUCUGAAUCUGAUGUCUCAUUAUCUAUCACUUGUAUAUGAAAAUAUAAAAAAAAUGGGCAUACUACAUAUUUAAGCAGCUUUUUAGAGUUUUCAGACGGUAAAUGUUCUAAUAAAUUAAUUUCACAUUGUAAAUAUCAAAAGCUCUAAUGAUCACAAUGAUAAUUUUUAUAUUAGAUACUGAUGUUCUUAUUCUUUAAUAUUUUCAGAAAGUAUUAGUAUUUCGUCAUUUAAAAUAAAGAAAAAUAUAUACGUUACUCCUAUGAAAGAGAUAUUAUACUACUAUAAUUUUUGUAGUUACAUAAAUCACUCAUUUGUGGAAAUAAUAUAUGCCGUACAUUACCUGAAGUGCCAACCUUGUUCUAUAUUGUUGUAAAGUUGGACUUUUACAACAUAGAAUUAUACAAUUUAUGGUUUAGUAUUACUUAUCAUUAUUCAAUAUCUUAUAUAUUUCAUAUUAAAUGAUAUACAGUACAGGCUUAAAACGCGUUGCCUUUGAGCUAGUUUUUUAAGGGACUGAGAUCGUCUAUUACGGGCAGCUCAUUCUUUUUAUUACAUUCAUCAUAUUCUUGAAACAAAUGUUAAGUAUAUUUAUUUCUGAUACCUUAUUAUUUACUUAAAGUUAAUAGUUAUUGGUACUUUCAGUUUGUCUUUAUUGUUACAAACUUAGUAGUAAAUAAUUGUAUAUAUUGUUUCAUCACUGAUCUUGAGUAGGACCAAUUAUAAAAGAAAUCAGAGCAUGUAAACAACGAUUAGUCAUAAACGAUUUGUAAAAUCAAUUUUGGAUUGCUUGUCAAAGAAGGUGUGCUUUAUAUCCUUUGUAAUACAGUCAGAGAGCAUUUAACAAAGCCAUUCUUUUACACAGUUUAGACGUUUUGGACUGACAAAUUCUUUUGUAUUUAUUUUUUUGGCCAUAUAUCUUAUCUCAGAAAAUUCAUUGUAAAUUUUCUAAAAUUAAUUAGAAUGUGUUUUUUUUUCAGUUAAAUACCUAAAAUUCUAUUGUUUUAACGGCAGCUUCUGUAGUUACCUUUAAAUACUUUACUUAUAAUAAGUAAAUAAUUUACAUUGUUGUUAUUUUUCAGCGCAGAGUCACGCAAGCUCAGAGUUUCAAAAAUACAUUUUAAUUGUAAUACUUAUUUACUUUUGGCAGAACUUGAAACUUUAUUGUUUUUAUUCCUUUAGCUUAUUUAUCAACUUUAUCAGAAUUGUAUGGCAUUUUAAAACUUGUAUAUUUAGGUUACUUUGUAAAUUAUUUGUUUAGAAAGUUAAGUAAAAUGUGCUUGGUUUCAAAUUUA
Mercenaria mercenaria is the source of this 15786-nucleotide long non-coding RNA. RefSeq lists it as uncharacterized. The record is from RefSeq and is a predicted model, not a curated record. NCBI's taxonomy places the organism in Eukaryota, Metazoa, Mollusca, Bivalvia, Venerida, Veneridae. The transcript is spliced from 2 exons.